AUGGCAUCUAUUCCCAAGCUUGUGAUUCUCCUGCUGUGCACCUGUCUUCACACUCUCCUUGCUCACGGAGGGGACGAUCUUCGCACCUACAAGGUUCUGCACGCUGGCGCUCUCAAAUCUGCCACCGUCAACUGCUCCCAGCCCCAAGUGACUCCAUCAUACGGCGGGGUCACGGUGCCGUUGCACCACCGGCACGGCCCGUGCUCGCCCUCGCCUGUACCCUCCACCAAGGCGCCGACCUUGCAGGAGAUGCUCCGGCGUGACCAGCUCCGGGCCGCUUACAUCACACGGAUGUACUCCGGCGUCAAGGGUGGUGCAGGUGACGUGGAGCAAUCGGACAUUACCGUGCCCACCACGCUGGGCACCUCCCUGGGCACGCUGGAGUACCUGAUCACCGUCGGCAUCGGCUCGCCGGCCGUGACCCAGACCAUGCUCAUCGACACCGGCAGCGACGUGUCAUGGCUACUCCGCGUUCCCCUGCAGCUCCGCCAGAGAGGCUGCUCCAACUCCCAAUGCCAGUAUAUUGUCAAAUACGGCGAUGGUUCGACCGGGACUGGGACUUACAGCACCGACACGCUCGCGCUGGGCUCCAGCACCGUCAAGAACUUCCAGUUCGGGUGCAGCCAGUCUGAGUCGGGCAACCUUCUCGAAGACCAGACCGAUGGGCUCAUGGGGCUCGGCGGCGGCGCAGAGUCUCUCGCCACCCAGACAGCGGGGACCUUCGGCAAGGCCUUCUCGUACUGCCUCCCGCCGACUCCGGACUCGUCCGGAUUCCUCACUCUCGGUGCAGCAACCUCGGGUUUCGUAGUGAAGACGCCGAUGCUGAGGAGUAGUGAGGUCCCGUCGUACUACGGCGUGCGCCUUCAGGCCAUCAGGGUGGGAGGCAGGCAGCUCAGCAUACCUGCCUCGGUCUUCUCCGCCGGGUCGAUCAUGGACUCCGGCACAAUCAUCACGCGGCUUCCGGCGACGGCGUACUCUGCGCUGUCGUCGGCGUUCAAGGCCGGCAUGAAGCAGUACCCGCCGGCGCAGCCCAUGGGCAUCUUCGACACGUGCUUCGACUUCAGCGGCCAGUCCAGCGUCAGCAUACCGAGCGUCGCACUGGUGUUCUCCGGGGGAAUCCAUUCAGGAAUGCAGUUUUGA
RNAcentral lists this ribosomal RNA (1140 nucleotides) under Triticum aestivum (bread wheat). RNAcentral's name for it is "partial small subunit ribosomal RNA". Lineage: Eukaryota; Viridiplantae; Streptophyta; Magnoliopsida; Poales; Poaceae. The record is from RNAcentral.